Non-coding RNA from Arachis ipaensis, 478 nucleotides. NCBI's taxonomy places the organism in Eukaryota, Viridiplantae, Streptophyta, Magnoliopsida, Fabales, Fabaceae. The record is from RefSeq and is a predicted model, not a curated record.
UCCCUAAUCUGAAAAGGAAAGCACGUAUCUCUAUCUCCAUCUUCCCUGUUUCUGCAUCAUCUUCAACAGCGACGCCGUAGCUUCCUAACGCCGUCAGCAUUGCUGCAGCAGCUUCAGCAUCUUUGGGACAGCUCCACCGCAUCUUCAUUCCUACAUUCUCAAGCCAAAGGGAUUCUUCUCUUAGUACUGAGUAGUGCUUCUUCUUCUCCUCCAUCAUUGUUCAGCCCUCUGUGGUUAAUGUCACUGUUCCGCCCUCCACCGUCGCGAGGCUGUAGCAAUCCCACUCAGACUUGUAAUGAAGCUUUUACUCUGUGUCAUCAUUGAAUUCUUUGUUACGAGCGUUGUACGUUAAUUUCGGCAUCUUUCGAAAGCGAUUCUGUUUAUUACUUGAAUGAUUUAGGUGAAGUUCAAUUGGGAUGGUUUGUUCAAAGAAGAAGAAAGGAUUGUAUUUGGAUGGAAGCCAAAGAAGGUGAAAAGU